AUUGAACGCUGGCGGCAUGCCUUACACAUGCAAGUCGAACGGCAGCACGGAGCUUGCUCUGGUGGCGAGUGGCGAACGGGUGAGUAAUAUAUCGGAACGUACCCUAGAGUGGGGGAUAACGUAGCGAAAGUUACGCUAAUACCGCAUACGAUCUAAGGAUGAAAGUGGGGGAUCGCAAGACCUCAUGCUCGUGGAGCGGCCGAUAUCUGAUUAGCUAGUUGGUAGGGUAAAAGCCUACCAAGGCAUCGAUCAGUAGCUGGUCUGAGAGGACGACCAGCCACACUGGAACUGAGACACGGUCCAGACUCCUACGGGAGGCAGCAGUGGGGAAUUUUGGACAAUGGGCGAAAGCCUGAUCCAGCAAUGCCGCGUGAGUGAAGAAGGCCUUCGGGUUGUAAAGCUCUUUUGUCAGGGAAGAAACGGUGAGAGCUAAUAUCUCUUGCUAAUGACGGUACCUGAAGAAUAAGCACCGGCUAACUACGUGCCAGCAGCCGCGGUAAUACGUAGGGUGCAAGCGUUAAUCGGAAUUACUGGGCGUAAAGCGUGCGCAGGCGGUUUUGUAAGUCUGAUGUGAAAUCCCCGGGCUCAACCUGGGAAUUGCAUUGGAGACUGCAAGGCUAGAAUCUGGCAGAGGGGGGUAGAAUUCCACGUGUAGCAGUGAAAUGCGUAGAUAUGUGGAGGAACACCGAUGGCGAAGGCAGCCCCCUGGGUCAAGAUUGACGCUCAUGCACGAAAGCGUGGGGAGCAAACAGGAUUAGAUACCCUGGUAGUCCACGCCCUAAACGAUGUCUACUAGUUGUCGGGUCUUAAUUGACUUGGUAACGCAGCUAACGCGUGAAGUAGACCGCCUGGGGAGUACGGUCGCAAGAUUAAAACUCAAAGGAAUUGACGGGGACCCGCACAAGCGGUGGAUGAUGUGGAUUAAUUCGAUGCAACGCGAAAAACCUUACCUACCCUUGACAUGGCUGGAAUCCUUGAGAGAUCAGGGAGUGCUCGAAAGAGAGCCAGUACACAGGUGCUGCAUGGCUGUCGUCAGCUCGUGUCGUGAGAUGUUGGGUUAAGUCCCGCAACGAGCGCAACCCUUGUCAUUAGUUGCUACGAAAGGGCACUCUAAUGAGACUGCCGGUGACAAACCGGAGGAAGGUGGGGAUGACGUCAAGUCCUCAUGGCCCUUAUGGGUAGGGCUUCACACGUCAUACAAUGGUACAUACAGAGCGCCGCCAACCCGCGAGGGGGAGCUAAUCGCAGAAAGUGUAUCGUAGUCCGGAUUGUAGUCUGCAACUCGACUGCAUGAAGUUGGAAUCGCUAGUAAUCGCGGAUCAGCAUGUCGCGGUGAAUACGUUCCCGGGUCU
Molecule: ribosomal RNA, 1352 nt
Filed under: uncultured bacterium
Lineage: Bacteria
Description: bacterial SSU rRNA
Rfam family: Bacterial small subunit ribosomal RNA
Source: RNAcentral